This 403-nucleotide ribosomal RNA is filed under the name uncultured bacterium. RNAcentral describes it as "bacterial SSU rRNA". It matches the Rfam family "Bacterial small subunit ribosomal RNA", at positions 355 to 775 of the family's 1533-position model. The record is from RNAcentral.
UGGGGAAUAUUGGACAAUGGGCGCAAGCCUGAUCCAGCAAUGCCGCGUGUGUGAAGAAGGUCUUCGGAUUGUAAAGCACUUUCGCCGGGGACGAUGAUGACGGUACCCGGAGAAGAAGCCCCGGCUAACUUCGUGCCAGCAGCCGCGGUAAUACGAAGGGGGCUAGCGUUGCUCGGAAUGACUGGGCGUAAAGGGCGCGUAGGCGGACAGCACAGUCAGAUGUGAAAUUCCCGGGCUCAACCUGGGGACGGCAUUUGAGACGUGUUGUCUGGAGUGGGGAAGAGGGUCGUGGAAUUCCCAGUGUAGAGGUGAAAUUCGUAGAUAUUGGGAAGAACACCGGUGGCGAAGGCGGCGACCUGGUCCUUGACUGACGCUGAGGCGCGAAAGCGUGGGGAGCAAACAG